GACAGAGGAUGCAAGCGUUAUCCGGAAUGAUUGGGCGUAAAGCGUCUGUAGGUGGCUUUUUAAGUUCGCCGUCAAAUCCCAGGGCUCAACCCUGGACAGGUGGUGGAAACUACCAAGCCAGAGUACGGUAGGGGCAGAGGGAAUUUCCGGUGGAGCGAUGAAAUGCGUAGAGAUCGGAAGGAACACCCAAGGCGAAAGCACUCUGCUGGGCCGACACUGACACUGAGAGACGAAAGCUAGGGGAGCAAAUGGG
This 253-nucleotide ribosomal RNA is filed under the name uncultured bacterium. RNAcentral describes it as "partial 16S ribosomal RNA". It matches the Rfam family "Bacterial small subunit ribosomal RNA", at positions 524 to 776 of the family's 1533-position model. The record is from RNAcentral.